ACGAACGCUGGCGGCGUGCUUAACCCAUGCACGUCGAACGGAAAGGCCUCUUUCGGGGGGUACUCGAGUGGCGAACGGGUGAGUAACACGUGAGUAACCUGCCCUUGACUUUGGGAUAACUUCAGGAAACUGGGGCUAAUACCGGAUAGGAGCUCCUGCUGCAUGGUGGGGGUUGGAAAGUUUCGGCGGUUGGGGAUGGACUCGCGGCUUAUCAGCUUGUUGGUGGGGUAGUGGCUUACCAAGGCUUUGACGGGUAGCCGGCCUGAGAGGGUGACCGGCCACAUUGGGACUGAGAUACGGCCCAGACUCCUACGGGAGGCAGCAGUGGGGAAUAUUGCACAAUGGGUGGGAGCCUGAUGCAGCAACGCCGUGUGCGGGAUGACGGCCUUCGGGUUGUAAACCGCUUUCGCUCAUGACGAAGCUUUGUGUGACGGUAGUGGGUAAAGAAGCACCGGCUAACUACGUG
RNAcentral lists this ribosomal RNA (466 nucleotides) under uncultured bacterium. Its description in RNAcentral is "partial 16S ribosomal RNA". It matches the Rfam family "Bacterial small subunit ribosomal RNA", at positions 29 to 507 of the family's 1533-position model. The record is from RNAcentral.